GACCUCAAAUCAGGUAGGAUUACCCGCUGAACUUAAGCAUAUCA
This 44-nucleotide ribosomal RNA is filed under the name Gloeophyllum trabeum. RNAcentral's name for it is "partial 28S large subunit ribosomal RNA". The record is from RNAcentral. RNAcentral also lists the same sequence under 1 other name. Lineage: Eukaryota; Fungi; Basidiomycota; Agaricomycetes; Gloeophyllales; Gloeophyllaceae.